UCAGCACUUGUACCCAAUUUUUAGGGACCGAUUAAAAGAGUUUCAGAAUGCUAAUUUAGGGGAACAGUAUGGGCGUACAGGUAUGAGAGCGAAUACGAUGGCGUAUGCGAAAAAUGUUGUAUUCAGGCAAUAUUUUGGUAAUUUUGUGCACUUCCAUUAAUAAUUACAUAACCAAUUCCAUUGCACAGUCUCUAAAAAUGCCAUUUUUGAGUACUGCUCAAGACGCAAGAGAACCAAACUUGAUCGUUACGGAGUGGAUGGAUUGAAGGAUCGUUACGGAAAGAACUUUGAAGGCACUCUGGACUCUGGAGUACAUAACCUGGAGUGACCUGGAUCUAUUUGUUCCGAUGUCUUUCGACUAACCCGGAGUUAAUAUUACUUGCUGAAUCUCCACAAGCAGAUAAAAAUACACAGUUACCAAUGUUUUGUCUCUGUAGUUAUUAUUCCGUGAUUCGACCCAUUUCGCUUGAAAAUCCCGAAAAAGCUGCCAACAUGUUGGACGACGACCCGGUUCUUGUUGCCUACGUAAAAAAUCAUGUUAAGAAGCUGAUUCUGGAUUGUUUGAUUGAUUUGAAAAAUUCCGGCUGUGUGGAGUACGAAGAAAAUGAGGGAAGAAGGAAGUUUGAUGAAGACGUCCCGAGUAAAACAGCUUGUAGGAAAAACGUUUGUUUAACGUGUAACUACUGCUAGGUAAACGGAUGUGUGUCAAUUUUAGCUGUCUACUAACUUUUAGAUAACGUUUUUUUGCAAGUUGUUUUACUCGGGCGUAAGUUAACAGUUUAUUUGCCUCGCUUGCCUUGUUGCAUAGAUUUCUUACGUUAUCACACGUUGGCCGAUCGUUAUAUAACGUUUAUUGCUUAAAAACUAAAGGGUGUGUUUAGAUUCCAAACUUUCUCGUUUUCCCAACGUACCUUGGGACCAUUGCGUCAUAUUACUAUUUGAAACACGGCACCAUGCGAAUUCCGCAUGAAAGACUGACACCAAGCACUAAGCUAUCAGAAAUUCUUCUGAUAUUAUCGGACGUCCAAGAAUUCGCGCAGGUGCUAGGGUAGUUCGCCACAAUGAGGAUGCCGAAAAUGGCCUAGUUUCUGGACAAGUGCCGCUGCCCGUUGACACAUCACGACUUACAUGCGAAAGUUUUUCUACUGCUGCAAGUGUAUUUUUCCCGAUAUCAAAUUGCCAUCCUAAUGCAGAAUGCGCAACGGAUCUGAACAGUCAUGUUCUGGAUCAGGUUAUGCGUAUUAUACAAGUAAUAAAAGAGCAAUUAUUCAUACCAGUAAAUACCGAAAAAUGCAGUUAGCACAAAUGGUUGUACAUCGUUUUGCGGAUGGUCUUCUGGUACAAGCAUUGCGGUACGAAGAUACGAAAAGUCGUUUUCAUUGUUUCCGGUCAUUCUGUGUUCAUAACGCACCUUUCUGCUUUUUCAGUAUACAAGAAGGAGUUUAAUAGUCUUACUCGGUUUUGUUCUAUAAUUUGAAUAAGUACAUUUUUAUGUGUAUAAAAGUUGCUGGGACACUUCCUGGAUUGAUUCAUUACACCGCGUUAUCAAAAAAGAAUGAAAACAAUCUACGGACACUUCUGCGAAACAUAUGCCCACCUGGAAGAGGUCACGCUGCUAAAAUUAUUGAGACUAUUCUUUCAUUUCCACUUUUGGAAGUAGAAUUAGGCCUGAAGAAGAAUGUGGAAGAAGAUUCUGGUGAUAAUACUGAUAGCGACACUCGCACCGUAAAUAUUGUUGGCGAUCGAAAUAUUAUGUGUUUGAUGUGGAAUGCGGGGGAACUUACGUGCUGGAGAUUAACUGUGUUUGUACCCGUCUUUUACCACGAAAAAUCCCUGGUAGAAAGGUCGCUACAUCCCGGUUUCAUAAACCUAAGGACGAGGCUGGUGGCGGCUACUCGGUGAAGUGGACAGUGGAGAAUUGUUGGCGAUGAAACGUGUCGGAUUCAUCUCACGCUCACUCAAUUCCUCAUUGCUUUUCUCAGCACCAUCCCAGCCUGGACGGGUGAUAUUGCAUUUUUAUUUGGUUUCCGAUUCAUAUUUUGGUUUGGAUCAACAGAUGGCAGUGCAGUUGCAAGCGGUCGAGCCUCACGUUGGUCUGUGAUAAUUUUAGCUGGUGAUUUUUGUAUGAUUCAGUGAGGUUUGGGACCGAUGGGGUAUUUUUACAGACUUUUAAUACACUAUGACUAUACGAAUGAAUG
Paramacrobiotus metropolitanus is the source of this 2198-nucleotide long non-coding RNA. RefSeq lists it as uncharacterized. Lineage: Eukaryota; Metazoa; Tardigrada; Eutardigrada; Parachela; Macrobiotidae. The record is from RefSeq and is a predicted model, not a curated record. The transcript has 4 exons.